This 469-nucleotide ribosomal RNA is filed under the name Variovorax sp. H5.37. Its description in RNAcentral is "bacterial SSU rRNA". It matches the Rfam family "Bacterial small subunit ribosomal RNA", at positions 192 to 642 of the family's 1533-position model. The record is from RNAcentral. Lineage: Bacteria; Pseudomonadati; Pseudomonadota; Betaproteobacteria; Burkholderiales; Comamonadaceae.
AUCUACGGAUGAAAGCAGGGGACCGCAAGGCCUUGCGCGAAUGGAGCGGCCGAUGGCAGAUUAGGUAGUUGGUGAGGUAAAGGCUCACCAAGCCUUCGAUCUGUAGCUGGUCUGAGAGGACGACCAGCCACACUGGGACUGAGACACGGCCCAGACUCCUACGGGAGGCAGCAGUGGGGAAUUUUGGACAAUGGGCGCAAGCCUGAUCCAGCCAUGCCGCGUGCAGGAUGAAGGCCUUCGGGUUGUAAACUGCUUUUGUACGGAACGAAACGGCUCUUUCUAAUAAAGAGGGCUAAUGACGGUACCGUAAGAAUAAGCACCGGCUAACUACGUGCCAGCAGCCGCGGUAAUACGUAGGGUGCAAGCGUUAAUCGGAAUUACUGGGCGUAAAGCGUGCGCAGGCGGUGAUGUAAGACAGUUGUGAAAUCCCCGGGCUCAACCUGGGAACUGCAUCUGUGACUGCAUCGCU